GACGAACGCUGGCGGCGUGCUUAACACAUGCAAGUCGAACGGAAAGGCCCUGCUUUUGUGGGGUGCUCGAUUGGCGAACGGGUGAGUAACACGUGAGUAACCUGCCCUUGACUUUGGGAUAACAUCAGGAAACUGGGGCUAAUACCGGAUAGGAGCUCCUGCUGCAUGGUGGGGGUUGGAAAGUUUCGGCGGUUGGGGAUGGACUCGAGGCUUAUCAGCUUGUUGGUGGGGUAGUGGCUUACCAAGGCUUUGACGGGUAGCCGGCCUGAGAGGGUGACCGGCCACAAUGGGACUGAGGUACGGCCCAGAAUCCUACGGGAGGCAGCAGUGGGGAAUAUUGCGCAAUGGGCGGAAGCCUGAUGCAGCAACGCCGCGUGCGGGAUGACGGCCUUCGGGUUGUAAACCGCUGUCGCCUGUGACGAAGCGUGAGUGACGGUAAUGGGUAAAGAAGCACCGGCUAACUACGUG
Molecule: ribosomal RNA, 468 nt
Filed under: uncultured bacterium
Lineage: Bacteria
Description: partial 16S ribosomal RNA
Rfam family: Bacterial small subunit ribosomal RNA
Source: RNAcentral